Molecule: ribosomal RNA, 253 nt
Filed under: uncultured bacterium
Lineage: Bacteria
Description: partial 16S ribosomal RNA
Rfam family: Bacterial small subunit ribosomal RNA
Source: RNAcentral
UACGUAGGGCGCAAGCGUUAUCCGGAAUUAUUGGGCGUAAAGAGCUCGUAGGCGGUUUGUCGCGUCUGCCGUGAAAGUCCGGGGCUCAACUCCGGAUCUGCGGUGGGUACGGGCAGACUAGAGUGAUGUAGGGGAGACUGGAAUUCCUGGUGUAGCGGUGAAAUGCGCAGAUAUCAGGAGGAACACCGAUGGCGAAGGCAGGUCUCUGGGCCUACCCUGACGCUGAGGCGCGAAGGCGUGGGGAGCAAACGGG